GCCAAAACCUGUACAGCCCAAACUUCGAAAUGCAGAACUAUAGAAUUCAGUUUCAGUUCCAAGUUAUGUCAAGCUGUGACAAUGGCAUUGUUCCACUUACAGCGGUGAUCCAGUGCGGAAACUAUGACUCCCAAGCCAAUCAACAUCUGAGUGCAGCCCAUGUAGAAACUAUAGCACAAACUUCGGAAGGUUGAGAUGAAACAUGUUGUGGAUUAUGUUAAAUUCAUUUGGGUUAAUUAUGGCAAAGUAUAAAUGACUCCCUGUCAUACACCUCCUGAGCCACAGUGUGUCUGAACUACAAAGUGCCAUUUCCCAGGUCUUCCUUGAAGACCGUGUUUAGUCUACUAAUAAGUCAGAGGUAUUUUCAAUAACAAUUGAUGAAAGCACUGACAGGGGCAAAAAGAAAGACUAAUCAUUUAUUUCCCAAGUGUCUGUGAAUCUGGACUUUACUUCUUCCUUCUGAUCAGUGAUGGCUCAUCAAAUGCAAAAAGCAUUGGGUCAUUAGUGGUGUAAGAACUAAAAGGCAAAGGGCUUGACAUAAAAAAUAUGGAGGGCAUUGAAAGUGAUGGUGCAAGUGUAAUGACAGGGAAGACUGGUGGUAUUGUCAAACUUCUCCAAGGACACUCCCCAUCUCUCAUAAGGGUACAUUGUGCAGCUCAUAGAACCUCGCUGGCAA
Mya arenaria is the source of this 676-nucleotide long non-coding RNA. RefSeq lists it as uncharacterized. NCBI's taxonomy places the organism in Eukaryota, Metazoa, Mollusca, Bivalvia, Myida, Myidae. The record is from RefSeq and is a predicted model, not a curated record. The transcript is spliced from 3 exons.